ACUCCGUUGGUGAACCAGCGGAGGGAUCAUUACCGAGUUUACAACUCCCAAACCCAAUGUGAACCAUACCAAACUGUUGCCUCGGCGGGGUCACGCCCCGGGUGCGUCGCAGCCCCGGAACCAGGCGCCCGCCGGAGGGACCAACCAAACUCUUUCUGUAGUCCCCUCGCGGACGUUAUUUUUACAGCUCUGAGCAAAAAUUCAAAAUGAAUCAAAACUUUCAACAACGGAUCUCUUGGCUCUCACAUCGAUGAAGAACGCAGC
Molecule: unclassified non-coding RNA, 264 nt
Filed under: plant metagenome
Description: partial contains small subunit ribosomal RNA, internal transcribed spacer 1, and 5.8S ribosomal RNA
Rfam family: 5.8S ribosomal RNA (bases 216-264)
Source: RNAcentral